GAUGAACGCUAGCUACAGGCUUAACACAUGCAAGUCGAGUGGCAGCAUGGUCUUAGCUUGCUAAGGCCGAUGGCGACCGGCGCACGGGUGAGUAACACGUAUCCAACCUGCCGUCUACUCUUGGACAGCCUUCUGAAAGGAAGAUUAAUACAAGAUGGCAUCAUGAGUCCGCAUGUUCACAUGAUUAAAGGUAUUCCGGUAGACGAUGGGGAUGCGUUCCAUUAGAUAGUAGGCGGGGUAACGGCCCACCUAGUCUUCGAUGGAUAGGGGUUCUGAGAGGAAGGUCCCCCACAUUGGAACUGAGACACGGUCCAAACUCCUACGGGAGGCAGCAGUGAGGAAUAUUGGUCAAUGGGCGCAGGCCUGAACCAGCCAAGUAGCGUGAAGGAGGACUGCCCUAUGGGUUGUAAACUUCUUUUAUAAAGGAAUAAAGUCGGGUAUGUAUACCCGUUUGCAUGUACUUUAUGAAUAAGGAUCGGCUAACUCCGUG
This 490-nucleotide ribosomal RNA is filed under the name uncultured bacterium. Its description in RNAcentral is "partial 16S ribosomal RNA". It matches the Rfam family "Bacterial small subunit ribosomal RNA", at positions 28 to 507 of the family's 1533-position model. The record is from RNAcentral.